Molecule: ribosomal RNA, 763 nt
Filed under: uncultured Halobacteria archaeon
Lineage: Archaea; Methanobacteriati; Methanobacteriota; Halobacteria
Description: bacterial SSU rRNA
Rfam family: Archaeal small subunit ribosomal RNA
Source: RNAcentral
CGUAGCCGGCCGAGCGGGUCCGUCGGAAAUCCGCGUGCUCAACGCGCGGGCGUCCGGCGGAAACCACUCGGCUUGGGGCCGGAGACUCGAGGGGUACGUCCGGGGUAGGAGUGAAAUCCCGUAUCCUGGACGGACCGCCGAUGGCGAAAGCACCUCGAGAGGACGGACCCGACGGUGAGGGACGAAAGCCAGGUCUCGAACCGGAUUAGAUACCCGGGUAGUCCUGGCCGUAAACGAUGUUCGCUAGGUGUGGCGUCGACUACGAGUCGGCGCUGUGCCGCAGGGAAGCCGCUAAGCGAACCGCCUGGGAAGUACGUCCGCAAGGAUGAAACUUAAAGGAAUUGGCGGGGGAGCACUACAACCGGAGGAGCCUGCGGUUUAAUUGGACUCAACGCCGGAAAUCUUACCAGCUCCGACAGUAGCGAUGACGCUCAGUGUGAUGAGCUUGGUUGAGCUACUGAGAGGAGGUGCAUGGCCGCCGUCAGCUCGUACCGUGAGGCGUCCUGUUAAGUCAGGCAACGAGCGAGACCCGCACUCUUAAUUGCCAGCGACACCGCGAGGUGGUCGGGUACAUUAGGAGGACUGCCGUCGCCAAGACGGAGGAAGGAACGGGCAACGGUAGGUCAGUAUGCCCCGAAUGAGCUGGGCUACACGCGGGCUACAAUGGUCGAGACAAUGGGUUCCAACCUCGAGAGAGGACGGUAAUCUCCUAAACUCGGUCGUAGUUCGGAUUGAGGGUUGAACUCACCCUCAUGAAGCUGGA